AGCCGAGCGGUGCUCUUGUGCAAUCACUCCAACGCGAACAGCUGGAGCGCCAGGCUGCUGCGCUCGCCACCUCUGGAGCACCGCUGGCCUGGCGGGGAGCCCGGCCUCGCCGACAGGACUCCGGGCUGGCCUUUCCGAACAAUGGGCAGGCGCUCUGCGAAGGCCGCCCCUCAGACAGCUAUCUUGCACCGGGGUUUGCCCGGGUCUGCUUAACUGGGAAGUGGAGCAUGCAAAGACGAGCGGGAGGCGGAGGCAGACGAGUGAGAGGAGCGAGCAGCUGCGUGCGAAGCGAGCCGGCCGUCAAAACGGUACCCAGACCCGCGCCGCUCGGGCCACAACUCGCCCCGGCACUGACAGCCCCUUUUACACCGUCGCCGCUGGCUUCUAGUCGGGAAGCGGGAUCGAGGAACGGGGAGAUGAACUGGGGAGAGGGGUGGAAUCCAGCGCUCCCCGGCUGCUCCGGCCCGACUGCUCUUAACUUUGGAGGGAUCCCGGGGAUGGCUCCCGAGGAAGAGGAAAAAACUACCCCACCGACUAGGAAAGCCUCUUCACCAUACCCACCCGCCACUUGGGCUCCCGGUCCCCUCCCUCUGAAACGCGCCUGUUACCAACCUGGGGUUUAUAAGGUUAAAUAGUAUGUGGUUUCCCGGCCGCCCCUCCACCCCCAUCAAAUCUGAGGAAGGCAAAUCUCGGGGAUGCAGCCCGGGAGUUGGCCUCGGUUUGCACCUGGAGGAGGAGCUGAGGCGUUCUGGGCAUCCUACAGAAACUGACAAGCGCUCCCCUGUACCCUCCGAAUCUAUACAACGGCCCAAAGGGAGCAGGCGGAAGAAAGAGCUCAGGCUCUCUGGCCCCGAAGUCCAAAAAUACCUUCAUUUCCUCAUUGAUCUCCCUUUUCACUGGCCUGAUUCCUCCAGAAAAUACAUUGGAGAGUGGAUAGGAAGACCCCAGGGUGAUCUGCCUUCAGCCCUCAACCCCUAGAUCUGCUUCGUUGUUAUCUCCAAGAACACCUAACUGGAAGCCCAGUCUUCAUGCCUGGAGAGUGAAGCUGAGCACAGGGUCACACUAGGAAGUGGCCGAUCCCUGAUAAAAGUCCCCAGUCAGCUGACUCCCAGACAGAAAAUUUGUCUCCAAUGUGCUGUUCGGCCCUGAGUUGUCUCUUCAUUACAUCCCAGAGGGAGGACAUUGAGUGGAAAAGUUUCCACAGUUUCACUAUGAGAAGACAUUAUACAUUUCAGUGGAAGAAAGAAAAUGUCAUCAAAAGCUAAGUAGAUAAGUUAAGGAUGCUAUAAUAAGUCUUGGGAUAUAGGCUGUGCAUUUGUUUUGUUUUUUAAUUCCAUUAAAGUCAGUAAAUCUGUGUACCAGAUGCUGAAGUAGGACUCUUGCUUCAAGCCAGUUUUGCCCUUCCCAUCUGAAGUCAGCCAGUCUUUAGUGCAGCUGAUCUCCUUUUGAGUCUGGAGGUGAGGGAGAGCUGGCAGGGACAGAUGGAAGAGAAGAGAGAAGAUCCGGGGACAGUGACUAGAAGCUGUGCUCCUUGAGGAAGUCUCAGGAUGUACAGUAUGGGAAGGUGCCGAAGCCCUAAACUGGGAAACAAAACAAAACACCAGCAUGGGGAAAAAAAAAAGGAAGUUCAACAUUGAACACAGAGUAUGCACAGAGGCAUCUUUUUAGGUGGUGAGCAGUAGAGUUUUGUCACUGAACACAUGGACAAUUAUAUAGAAUUUAGUAAUACAAAAGCUACUAUUUCUUGAAUGCUUUUUAUGCACCAGGGACCAUGCUUAAUAUUUUACAGAGAUUAUUUUAUUCAAUCUUCACACAGUUGACACAAUUACAGAUUGUGUUCCAUUUUGCAGAUGAGGAAAUGGAGAGUUAAGACAUUCAGCAUUUGCCUAGUAAGUGGGCCAGCAGUCUGAGUAGAGUCUAGAAUUCUCCCUGCCACCUUGUAUUACCAAUGGUUUUGGUGAGGAGUCUUGCUUACAAGUAACAAAACGAGCUCUAACUGUCUAAAGAAAAAAAAAUGUUGGAGGAAAGGGGGUUCACAGAAUCCAAGAGGCUGGGAGAACAGGCUUGGGAAACAGGCAAGAACCCAGGGCCUCAGGAGGCCAGGCCACAGGAACACCCUAUCCAAGAUGCCACCAUCUCUGCUUCUGCUAUACCACACCUUCUAGAAAUGACAACUGGACAUCAUGCUGACCCCAUGAGCUGCCCCAGAUGCUUCUCCUUCAUCUUCACCUCGGGGUGCACAGGCCUGGAUGGGAAGGUCCACGGCCAGGUGUUGGAGCCCCUGUUCCAUAUUCCAGGGGGUGGGGAGAGUGAGAUUCAAACUGUUUGGCAUCCACAGUGGAAAGUGAGGUCUUAUAUCCCAAGAUCACACGCGAUGAAGAAUUCCCCUAAAUGCAAGGACAGAUGGAUUUUGACAGCCAAAGGAAUGUUAUAAUGUCCUUCCAGACUACCAGCUGUAGCCACUUUGUAGCAAAUCAUUCCAUUAGGAAAGUAAAUGUAGGGCUGUUAAAAUAAUUUUGAAAGGUCAGGCAAAGGUGGAAUUGUGCAAACAUUAAAUAUUGCAAAUCAAAACCUGACUGACCUAGAAUUUCAUCCUAAUAGAUUUAUUUUCAAUCUCUAAAUGCAGACUUCAAAAAGGCAAAUUUGGUAACCCAUAUGCUAAACAGCAAUUAAUUGGAAUGUUUAGGGAAUGGAAUGUUCUUGUUAACUUAAAUUUCUAACUAAAUGUGAUUAAGCCUUUAAAAAGACCCACAAGCCUUUAUAUUUCAGAUCUUGUCACUGGAAUUCUUAAUAAAAUAUUUGGAUUGUGAGGAUUUUGCAAUUCCUCAGAAUUACUGAUGCCACCAUAUGUGGUUGUAAAGUGCAGUCGGUGUAGACUGUGCUGAAUGUGUUCAGAUCUCGGGGUAUAUGUUCCAUGUACAUUUCAUUAGCCAAAUUUCUUUUUUCAUUUUAGGAUGAUCCUUUUGCAAAUUUUUAUUAAAAUUCUUAUUUUUUAAAAAAGAUUUAUCACCUCUUAACAUAAAGGGGAAAUGGCUAUAUAUUCAAUUACAAAUGCAGAAACAUAUAAUACGAUUUGAUCUUGAAAAUGUAACAGCCAUGAAGGCAUCCAAUAUUCCUUCAUUAGCCAAACUUCUGAUAUGAGUUUGCCUUUUGUUUUCUCCAUUGCAUAAAAAUUAGAUAAAGAGGAGGAAAUAAAUUCUGUCCACGUAAACUUUUUUUUUUUUUGGAGCCUACUAAGGACAAGCAUACUACUAGGUUCUAUGAACAUAAACAUAAAUAAUAAAGGUGUUUUUAAAAUGAGAUGGGAAUUCAGAAAAUGGGCUGACUAAUUCUGAGUGAAGGAUAGAGAUGGCAACCAUCUGAGCGGGGCCUUGAGGAAUGAGAAGUAGGAUAUUGCCAGAUGAGGGAGGGAGAAGGAGGACAUCCUAGGCAGGAAGAACAGUGUGAAGAAAAGUGUCAAGACGUGAAAGUGCAAAUGGAGGAAAGGGAAGGGGGAAUAAUUCAGUGGGCCUAGGAUGAGUAUGUUAAAGGGGGCUAUGAGAUCACCCCAAAUGUAGGAUAGGACCAGACUGUCAAUGGCUGCAAAUACCAUCCUAAAGGACAGUGGACUUCUUUCUGAGAGUCCUAGGAAGCCACUGAGUCUUUUUUAGAAGGUGAUAAGAUCAUAAAUGUGGGACAGGAAGAUCACUUUGACAACAGGUAAAAGGCAGAAGAAGAGAUCAGAAGUAGGAAAUUACAUAAGAGGUGUUUGUAAAAGUCCAAGAGGUAAUAAAUUAUUGCUUAGACUAGUGCAGUAGUAGUUGGAAGGGAUUCUUUCUACGAGUUGCCUUAGAGACAGAAUCCAUAGGAAUUGGUAUCUGACUGAACAGAGGGGAGAGGAGAUUGUGUGAAAAAAGUGAGUAUUUGGAUAACAGAGCCCACUGCAUUUUAACUAACUCCUUUUUGCAAAAACAACAAUAAAAAUUGCCCUUCUAAGUGGCUCAUUGAAUAAGUGGAGCAGUGGAUUCCAGUUUUGAUUGAUCAUCUCCCCAGCCCAGACCUACUGAAGUAGGUUGUCUGGAAGUAAAGACCAGUAAUUCAUAUUUUAAAAGCUCUCCAAGGAUUCUGAUGAUCAGUCAAUUUAAGAAAGCACUGCAAUUGAAAAUCUGAACAGCAAAUGAUACCCAAUAACAUUAGAUUCUGCGAUAUCUUAUGAUGUCCUGUCUGCUCUACUUCUGAAACAUAGCCUGAAUCUCAGUAUCCUCUCUAAUUCCUCCACACCCAUCCUAAUAUUAGGCCCAUUUAUUUAUUGCCAAAACUAAGUAACUGCCACCUACCUGGGCUCCUUGCUUCCACUCUUGUCCCUGUGCAGUCCAUUCUCCACAAAGCAACCAGACCAUUUCUUCAAAAAUGUGAAACAGAACUUGUACCCUCUUGCUGAAAAUGUUCCAGUGACUUCCUGUCACACUGUGAUGGUUUUAAAAUAUGUCCAUAAAUUCUUUGUUGCUUCUCCCUUGAAAGAAUAAAGCCUGAUUCCCCUCCCCUUGAUUAUGGGCUAUUCUUAGUGACUUGCUUGUAAGAAACAGAAUGUGACAAAAGUGAUGGUGUGUGAUGUCCAAGAUUAGGACAUAAAAGAUAUUGUGGUUUCCUUCUUGCUCUCUUUUCUUGAAUCAAUCACUUACUUGGGGGAAGAGAGAUACUAUGUCACAUUCAAGCAGCCCUACGAAGAGGUCCAUAUGGUGAAAAACUGAAGCCCUCUGCCAACAGUCAGCAAGGAACUGAGGGCUUCUGCCAAUAGCCAAUUGAAUGCUCCAUCUUGGAAGCAGAUCCUCCAGCCUCAGUCAAGCCUUCAGAUGACUGUAGCCAUAGUCAAUAUCUUGAUUCCAAUUAUCUGAGAGGCCCUGAGUCAAAACCACCCAGUUAUUUGGCUCCCAAAUUCCUGACUCACAGAAACUAUGAGAUAAUAAUGGUUUUAAGCUAUUAUGUUUUGGGGAAAAUCUGUUAGCAACAAUAGAUAACUAAUACACAUACUUAAAAUACAAUCCAAACUCCUUGCCAUGGCUGGCAAGGUUCUACAUACUUAGAAUUCUGCCUAUAUUACUAAUUUUAUCUACCACUCACUUUGUGGAAAAGACUACUAGUUGUCCCUUAACAGCUAAUUGUCUCUACUUUGUUUAGAAAUAGAGUCACCAAAGUUUAUCCAGGUAUAUGAAUUCAAACUACUGACCAUAUUUCCUAGCCUCCCUCACAACUAGAUUUGGUCAUAUGGCAAAUUCUAGCCAAUAGGAUGUGAGCAAAGGGAUGUGUGUAACUCCCAAGUUGUGCCUUUAAAUAGAAGGGAUGUGGCUUCUGUUCCCCUUCCCCUCAUUUCUGAUGACUAGAAUACCAGUAUGAUGGUUAAAGAGGAGAAGCUGGACUAGCCAUCUCAAGUCACAAGAUGGAAGUCUCAUGGUAAGCAUGGCAAAGCAACAGGAUAAAAAGAGCAUUGGUCCCCAAUACCAUUAAGCCAGGUCUGUCUUGUCUUUAACAUGAGCAAGACACAGGGCUAUAUAUUGCAUUAAAUCAUUGCAUUUUUUGGUCUCUUUACUACAACAGCCCAACCUAUACGUUAACUUACUCAGCUCCUUGUUUACCACGUUCUAGCCACAUUGAUCUUCUUUCUUCUCUUUUACUACCCUGAGGUCUUUGCACUUGCUGUUCACUCUGCUUGGAAUACUUUCCCCGGCCAGGAGUCCCCCAUGGCUGACUCCCUGCUACCAGGUUUCAUUGUUUCAUCUAAAACACUUACCCCUGUGUUGUUCUCUAUUACAUAAUCAUGAAUGAGUUCUAUUCUUCAUGGUACUCUCAGCACCUUAAAUUUUCUCACUUAUCUGUUUGUUGUCUGUCACUCUCCACUAGAAUACAAUCUCCAUAAGAUCAAGACUCUUGUCUGCCUUAUUUCCCGCUGAAUCUCCUGUGCCAGGAAAGUGCCUGCACGUAGUAGAUGCUCUAUAAGUAUCUGUUGUGCAAAUAAGUUAACAAAUGAAUUGAUGAUAAAUGAUGUCAAGAGCCUAGUCCUUGGAUCACUUUUCAUAAUUCAGCCUCCUUUAUCUGCUGAAAUUAGGGUAAGACAGGUAACAAUAAUGACUUAACUCAGGAUUAACAAAAGAAUGUCAAUAAGUCUCUUAUACCUUCAUUAUUAAGUGUUCUGAUUUAAUGAGGAAAUAGAAACACAGAAACAGUAAAUGAAUCUCUGCCUUUAGCCUUUAAAACCCAACUAGAGAAAAGUAAAAACGAGCUCAUAAAAAUAUUAUGCCUAAAGAACAGAUUCUCUUAAAUCCUAAUAUAGAUUAUCGUAUUACAUUGCCUCUAAGAUGCCAGCUAUUGUGAGACACACCAUUGUUUUAUGUACCAUGAAAAAAGAAAAAAUGCUGCUGUGGUACAUUGCGUUAUUAUUCCUCUGUGCCCACAGCCCCUUCCCAGCCUCAGGGUGGAUGGAGUAUACUUCCCCUGCUCCAUUGUCAGGAUUGACCAUGUGACUUGCUUUGACCAACUGAAUGUGAAUAGACAUGACAAAGGCCAUAUCCAGGCAGCUUUAAAUGUGCCUGUGAGGUUAGAUUCAGCUUUUGCUCCUUCCCUCAACCGUGAGAUAAUGGUAGAAUAGUCCCAGAAAGUGGCUAGUCCUUCCACCUGGAUUCUAGAACGACAUAUGUAGCUGUGCAGAGGUAAGCCAAGCCCGGUCAAACCAACCAGAGCAAAGGCCAGUGGAGCCACAGCCAACCCACAGCCCUACAUAAUGUGAAUAAGAAAUAGGUUUCAUAGUAAGCCAAUGAGAGAUCGAUAAUCACAACAAAAGCUAUGACAAUUAACCUACCACAUACCAUCAAUUGUAAGCUGCAUGUUGGUUUCAGAGAUGUUAAAAUGUGGACCAAUGUGUGUCUUAGGAUCAAUAAAAUAUGGUAUGUAUUAUAUGUUAUCACAUAUCAGCAAAGAUAUAUUGCAAGUGCCCAAUAAAUAUUUGUUGACUUGAUUUUAUGUACGGGAUGAUGUGGAGUUCAUAUUUUUAGUGAGAGUUCUUGAUACACACCUUUUCUUUUUAACACAUUAUAUGUAACAGUAUAACCUUAGGUAUUAACUGUAAUGGAAACUAAAAUUUAUAUAGCAAGCAAAGUUCAAACUAAAUAAAAGGCAAGCUGGGACUUUUCAUUACU
This is a long non-coding RNA of Orcinus orca (killer whale), 7169 nucleotides long. RefSeq lists it as uncharacterized. Lineage: Eukaryota; Metazoa; Chordata; Mammalia; Artiodactyla; Delphinidae. The record is from RefSeq and is a predicted model, not a curated record. The transcript is spliced from 4 exons.